This 769-nucleotide ribosomal RNA is filed under the name Paenarthrobacter nitroguajacolicus. Its description in RNAcentral is "bacterial SSU rRNA". It matches the Rfam family "Bacterial small subunit ribosomal RNA", at positions 389 to 1170 of the family's 1533-position model. Lineage: Bacteria; Bacillati; Actinomycetota; Actinomycetes; Micrococcales; Micrococcaceae. The record is from RNAcentral.
CAGCGACGCCGCGUGAGGGAUGACGGCCUUCGGGUUGUAAACCUCUUUCAGUUGGGAAGAAGCGUAAGUGACGGUACCUGCAGAAGAAGCGCCGGCUAACUACGUGCCAGCAGCCGCGGUAAUACGUAGGGCGCAAGCGUUAUCCGGAAUUAUUGGGCGUAAAGAGCUCGUAGGCGGUUUGUCGCGUCUGCUGUGAAAGACCGGGGCUCAACUCCGGUUCUGCAGUGGGUACGGGCAGACUAGAGUGCAGUAGGGGAGACUGGAAUUCCUGGUGUAGCGGUGAAAUGCGCAGAUAUCAGGAGGAACACCGAUGGCGAAGGCAGGUCUCUGGGCUGUAACUGACGCUGAGGAGCGAAAGCAUGGGGAGCGAACAGGAUUAGAUACCCUGGUAGUCCAUGCCGUAAACGUUGGGCACUAGGUGUGGGGGACAUUCCACGUUUUCCGCGCCGUAGCUAACGCAUUAAGUGCCCCGCCUGGGGAGUACGGCCGCAAGGCUAAAACUCAAAGGAAUUGACGGGGGCCCGCACAAGCGGCGGAGCAUGCGGAUUAAUUCGAUGCAACGCGAAGAACCUUACCAAGGCUUGACAUGAACCGGAAAGACCUGGAAACAGGUGCCCCGCUUGCGGUCGGUUUACAGGUGGUGCAUGGUUGUCGUCAGCUCGUGUCGUGAGAUGUUGGGUUAAGUCCCGCAACGAGCGCAACCCUCGUUCUAUGUUGCCAGCGGUUCGGCCGGGGACUCAUAGGAGACUGCCGGGGUCGACUCGGAGAG